CUAGAUAGAGAUCCCGGGUCUUCGAAAACCGUGUUCAUGGGACAUCGAAGGUGGCUUCACGACGAUGACCCAUGGAGGAAACGCAAGGAUCUGUUCGAUGGUGAAACCGAACCCCGAAAACGCCCGUGUACGAGGAGCGGCGAGGAAAUAGACAAGCUGUUGAAAAAUUGGAAAGACUGCCCACUGCCGGGAAAGAAGCAAAAGGCGCCAGAGCCGGGAAAGAAGCGAAAGGCGCCAGAGCCGCUGCUGAAGGUAUGGAAAACGAGGUCUGUUUUCUGGGACUUGCCGUACUGGAAGAUCCACCGUGUGCCUCACAGCCUUGAUGUCAUGCAUAUCACGAAGAAUGUGUGCGAGAGUCUGCUUGGUACCCUGCUCAACAUGCCAGAGAGGACGAAAGAUGGGCCGAAAGCAAGGGCAGACUUGAAAUCAAUGGGCAUCAGGCAGGAGCUUCACGCUAUAUAUGAUGAUGAUGAUGAUGAUGAUGAUGAUGAUGAUGAUGAGGUGAAGCAGGACACAGAAAGUCGUCGCAAAGGCAGAAAGGCCAAGAAGACCGGAAAUGACUACCCUCCCGCGUGCUUCACUCUAAGUCAGGAGGAGAUCGAGCAGUUUUUCACCUGCCUCCUAGGAGUAAAACUUCCUUACGGUUACGCGGGGAAGAUAAGCAGAUACCUAGACCCAGCGAAGCAGAAGUUCAGCGGGAUGAAGUCUCACGACUGUCACGUGCUGAUGACGCAGAUACUUCCAGUUGCAAUCCGUGGGAUCAUGGACGCGCACGUCCGUGAAACGCUAUUUGGCCUAUGCAACUUCUUUGACGUCAUCUCUCGGAAGUCGAUUGGCGUGAGGCAACUCAGAAGGCUACAGGAAGAGAUCGUGGUGAUACUAUGCGAGCUUGAGAUGUACUUCCCGCCCGCAUUCUUCGACGUUAUGGUGCAUCUGCUGGUCCAUAUAGUGGAGGAUAUCAUCCAACUCGGGCCG
Molecule: ribosomal RNA, 975 nt
Filed under: Triticum aestivum (bread wheat)
Lineage: Eukaryota; Viridiplantae; Streptophyta; Magnoliopsida; Poales; Poaceae
Description: partial small subunit ribosomal RNA
Source: RNAcentral